CGACCCUUACGCCCUAGUUGCGUAGCGUUGGGAACCUUUAGCGCCCUCUCGGGCGGUAAUUCCCCAAAGUCAGUUGGCAGAGUUGCGGCAUACUCUGAGCGUAGUAAUUCUUUUUCUCGCUCCUGAAGGUGUCGCGGCGAUCGCCAUAAACCUCUAUAUUUUUCUAGU
RNAcentral lists this unclassified non-coding RNA (168 nucleotides) under uncultured Xylariaceae. RNAcentral describes it as "sequence contains ITS2". Lineage: Eukaryota; Fungi; Ascomycota; Sordariomycetes; Xylariales; Xylariaceae. The record is from RNAcentral.